Non-coding RNA from Xyrichtys novacula (pearly razorfish), 41245 nucleotides. The record is from the annotation of a GenBank genome assembly. NCBI's taxonomy places the organism in Eukaryota, Metazoa, Chordata, Actinopteri, Labriformes, Labridae.
ACAUAGGCUAACUAUAUAAGCAGUAGAUUGUGUCCUUCCAGAGGAGGAAAUCUACUUCUAGACUUCUAGAAUCAGCAUCUCCUCAUCCAUGGUGUCAUCGGGGUGAAAUGACGUCUAAAAACCUUUCACUUGUUCGUCUCCGCCCGUUUGCAUGGUGUGAAAUACGAUCCUCCUGAAACACGGAGUGUUUUAUUUUGAAAAGAAGCCGGAUGUUUUAUUUUGUGUCUGUGCCCGACUUCCUUUCCAGCACGGGUUAAUCUGUGCUGAAUUUAUCCGCCAUGCUCCGGCGUCCAGAAAAAAUAGAACUCUUGUGAUCAGCUGAGGAGUCUGGCGAUCCGCAGAGGAACGGAAAGAAGUCGGUGUAAAUUGACACGUUAACUUGAAUGGUUACGAUCAGCUACGAUCGGAGGAUACGACCUUUUAGGAGACGAUCAGGAUGAAGGUGUAAAUUGGGGGUUAGACCAACAGCUCCAUUGUUCAGUGACAUAUGAAGAAGUAAUUUCACGAACUGUCCCUUUAAACAGAAUUGCUGUUGAAUCGCCUGAAUACCAAGAACACAGUAUUUGUGAUUUGAGUUUGGAUUUAUCAUGAGACCCUAAAAUAAAACGAUUCAAGAGUGAAGAAGAAAACGAGCGUGGUUGCUACGGCUGCAGGAAAUAUUUGAUGUUUAUUGACAUUUUUUGACAAACAGGAUAAAAAAAUUCAUCCUUUUCCUCCUUUUCCUGCGGAGUAUCAGGUUCGACGUGUGCAGAGAGAACUGCUUCAUCCUCAUCAGUCGAGAGGCGUCUGAUUGGUCCAAACUUUGACCCACUCGCUGCAGCACACAGCAUCAGUCUGACACACCAGUACAAACCUCAGAUACGUCUCCUCCUCUCACAGGUAAAACUCAUGUCAACCCUGACUCCUGAUUGGCUCUGAUUGUGAGCUGCGGGGCCCCUGGAUGCAUGACGAGCAGCUUGAACUAACUUGUUUACUGGGGGGGGGGGUCUGGACUGGGUUCUCCACAGUGUUGCUGUUGUUCCAGCGCACAAGGAUUACAAUUAAGCAGCCACUCCUGUUGGGGCUUAAUGACCGAACUCUGCAAAAGCCAGCAGCAGGGACACUUCCUGAACAGCGCCGGGUUAGCCCUAAUUGGUUCUGGCACAGCAAUCCUCGCUGCUUAUCUCAUAGCCAGCUGAGAAAAAUCACCAGUGAAGUGUGAAUCAAAACAUGUUGAUUACAGGAAAUUCAGACUGAGCAGCACACCUGAUGGAAAGACGUCUUUUUUUAGAGACGGGACCGUCAAAAUUCAGGAUUAAACACGGCGAGCUGGAUUAGACCGACCCGGACAGACCCUCUUCGACGUUCGCUCCGUCUCGUACGAAGCGUUGCCGAUAAAUAAACACAUAAACAACAGUCAGGAGCGGAUCGUGGAAUCUCCUUUUUCAUAACAGGACCCUGCGAACACAUGUCCAAGCUCAGAGUCAAAUGGGACAGGGGGGGUUUGGAUGGGAGUCCGGGGGAUUUGGGUAAACCAUCUGUUGACCAAAGCUUUUGGGAAAGAGCACUAAUAUGGAUUUAGGAUAUUAUUCUCUCUGCAGGUGGGAUGGUCAAAACCCCCGUGGAUUUCUCUGCGAGGAGGAGGAGGAGGGGGAGGGGCUUUAAGAAAAAAAACAAAACAGGUUUGAAUAGAGGGACGGAGCGCACAGACCAAACAAAGAUGGAGCUUUUCCUUAAUCUCCUCUCUGUGCUCGCUGAAGUCAGGUAUGAGAGUUCACAGUGUGAUUUCUCCACACGUAUAAAGUGGCGUUUUUCUUAACACCACAUUCCUCACAACAAUACACAGACCUGGGUGGCUCUCCACGUGGAUCCAGACAUCCUGCAGGGCGGACCUGUAUAAGCUCAGACUCCAGCCCGGGUGUUGGGUCGGGGAAGAAGAGCCUCAGGAGUCUCUGGAGCAGCGGCGGGUUUACUCUAACACCCAAUUUCAACCGCAAUCGGAACGGCUAUGUAAAGGUCGUAUAUGUCGAUCGUAGCUGAUCGUAACCAUUCAAGUCUCAAUUUCCACCGGCUUCUUUACACUCCACAAGAGUUCUAUUUUUUUAAGUCGGGCACAGACACAAAAUAAAACACUCAAGUGAAAGGUUUUUAGACGUCAUUUCACCCCGAUGACACCAUGGAUGAGGAGAUGCUGAUUCUAGAAGUCUAGAAGUAGAUUUCCUCCUCUGGAAGGACACAAUCUACUGCUUAUAUGUCUAUGUGUCUGUCUUUUUAGACACAACUUGUUAUUGCGCAAUUGAACGUGAAUCUGCGGGUUCUUGUGAGUUCUCGUGAUUCCUGAUGUCCGUAAUCCACCACGAAACAUCGCCUGACCAACAGAUCUGGUAGGAAUUGGCAGAAGGGGAAUAUCGCAGCUGUUCCUGAUGUGGUGGAAAUUGGGGGUAACGCUCUUUUGGAGACGUUUCACCUUUAGGCGAAACAUCUCAAGUAAGUCCAGUUGUCCUUUCAACGAAGAAUUGGAAAUCAUAGAGUUCUAGGGAUUCCUUCUCUCCGUAGUCAGCCACGAAAAUUAUGUCCAUAAUCUGCCACGAAAUGCGCCUCAGAAAAUCGUUUCGGAUUGGAGGAACGGUGGAAAUCCCAGGUAACAGCAGCUAUCUUAACGGUGAUGUUCCCGUUCUUGCAAUAUCGUUUGUUUGUCGGGAUUGUACGGCACAGAUUCGGCCCGGGUGCUUUCAUUCAGUACGUUUACAUGACACUGGAUAAAACCGAAUUAUCGCCUUAUUCCGAUUAAGACCAGACAACUGAAGUGCACAUAAACACCUUAAUCAGAGUUUGAGAACUCUGAUUAAGACACCCAGAUAAUGUGAUUGGAAUUCAAUUUUCUCUACCAUGUAACCAGCGUAGUCGGAGUAAGAUGGACAAUGCAUGUGAGCAUGCCACGCCCCCGUAACCCCUGAACAAAACCCCCAGAGUAGAGGAGUAGCGUUGGUCUCAUCUUUAGAAAAAGUAGCGCGUCCAUCAUAUAGGACAAAAACAACGCUGUACGAUGCUCCAUCUUCUGAAAAGACCCAUAUCGCCCCCUAGUUUUGGGGAGGAGGACACGUUCACGUCAAUAAUUUGAUUUUCUCAGCUGCAUGUAAACGAGGACGAGGAGAGAAACAAACUGACAGUUUCUCUGCACAACCGCUCACAUCUGCAGCAGGAAGAAGAGUAACCUCAAACAGACAUGAGGGUUGUUCCACGGUUUUAAUAAAUGUAAUCUGCUUAAACUCUCAGACUGAAGUAAACUGACUUUCAUAUGUGUAAACAUCCGUCCCAGCGAGUACCUGCAGCGCCAGCGCCAAAAUAAACCAUUAAAGGUAUUUGCUGAAAACUGCUUGGCGACGGUUUCUCAUUUACAAACACUAAUCUUUGCCUUUCUUAUGAGGCGUGUGGAUUCUUUCAGGUCAUAAAACAUCCAUCAAACAGUCAGGAAAACCAUCUGGACCUUGUCUGGAGUCAGGUGAGGAGCGCCCAGACUGGAAGGUGAAACAUCUCUGGACCCUGAUGAGCUGAAGGCUUCAUUUCUCCUGAGGGACGACCUGUGAAGGAGAGAGAGAGGACAGAUUCUAAAAUCUGAGAGUUUGGGUUUGUCGGCCUGAGGGGGAUGACCCGUUAAAGAGGCAGUGAUGAUGGGAAGCUCCAGUCAGUAAAUUACAGCGUCCUCUAAUCCGUCUCUGAUCCCACUCAAACCCCUCCCAGCAGAACCCCCCCCCCCACAUCCCAAUCUGAGAUACCGAGCGGACAGAUUCCAGGAAAUGUCUAUUUUCAGGAACAGAUUGCGGCAUUGUUGUUGACUCGAUAAGCUAAUGUGGAAGUGGAAAUGCAGACUAAGUCCUGCACACACCUGUCUGCCACGCAGGAUUACAUUCUCCAACAUCAUGUUUAAAUAUACAGGAGAUAUUUCACUCACAUCUGUGCAGGAACAGAUGCUGAAACCAGAGUCUACGGCGGCCUCGUUUACCGAGAGUCAGACGUCGACAUCUGCGUGCAAAAACGCAGGAACAACAUGUGCGAAUGUGGAGUAUUUUUACUGAAUUUAAACCACUAAAUAUAGUUAAACUGUGAGAGUGAUUUAAUAUGACCAGCUGAGGAAGAACUUUGACCUGUAGGAGGUGGUGCAGGAGAAAACCACUGUGGUGUUUUUUUCCAGAGUUGGUAGAGUACAUCCUCUUGUGAUAAUGAAGGAUGAACCCACUGAGUGUUUGAAAUACUCAGAGGAUGAUGAAUAAUUUCACCAAAAUUAGAAGAAACAUAAUGUUUUGACCGUUGAGGAGGUGGUGGGGUUGUUAUAGAUCGACAUAAACUAUAAAUUAUCAUGUUUAAGGGAGGCAUGACUAAGCUUUACAUUUAACGUAAAUUUGACCAAAUUCAAUGAAAAUUCAUUGACGAUUGCCGCGGCAGUUUUGACCUCAAAGUGGCUCUGAAAGUUUUAUCUGGAGGCCCGUAAUCGUCAGGAGUUAAAAACUGUGAAUUAUGAACAUCUGCACCAAAAACAACUCCACACCGUUCAGUAAAUGUUGAGAUACUUGACUCCAAAUGUUCAUGAAGGCUGGUUUCACCGUAUUUGUGAUGAGCUGCACAGACUCAAAAGACUCUUUAAUAUUUGCGGCGGUCAAAGAAGCUGAUAUUCGGAAACCCAACCCAAUGUGGGUUACAGAAAAGAAGCUCUUAGGCGGAUUAAUCGCUCCAUCAUUAAGCCAUUAAACGUCCAUCUUGGUCAGGUUAUAUGUGGGGGGUCCUGGAAAUUAAUUCAUGCUCAAUAAAGACGACUUAAAGCCCGAUUAUUGGUCUUUGCCCCUCUUAGAUACAGGAUCUGACUGGGGUGAUCCCAAGCGUGAGGAAAUGUGAAUCUGGCCACUUAGGGGGGCUCUGCGGUUUAAGGUUGAUUAGUUUCGCGGAUGUCCUUCCUGAUGCUGUUUUCCGGUAAGCUACACGUCUCUGCUCGAAUACUGCAGUUAAUCACAGCUCUCUUUAAUUCAAUGAUUUAGAUUCUGCAGCUUAAUGCAGGAUGAACCGCCCUCUGAAAUAUUCAAUGUAAUCUCCCAGUCGACUAAAGGGUUCGUUCCUAUCUUUGGAGGAUAACCAGGUUUAAAGAAGUAAGGACAGGUCAAAGAAAAAUGGGAGCUUGAUUAACCAGAAGAGGCGUGAUAAUCAAGGACACAUGGGGUCGGAGUCGUGCCGAGGAGCAGCCCAACAAGACAAGGAAAUACAAUCUGUGUCGAUGUGAUUCAGAAUAAUAGGCUGGUUUCCUCCAUGAAGGCUUAAUAGUUUACAGACGUGUGGGCCAUCUAACGAGAGUCUGCUUCGAUUUUUCUCCAGGGACUUAAUGAUGAGGAGGAGGAAACCCAAGACGGGUCCGACAGUCUGAUAGAGGAAGGGCUUGUCAUCGCAACAACAGAGGAUAUAUUUGGGAUGUCUGACUCUUAAAGUCACACUGUAAGGUGCCCAGAUAAACAAAGCCUGACUGUUAGCUAAUCUGAAUUAAGGAAUAAAAAUGAUCCCUUUUACUAAUCAAGCUGUUUUAGUCUGACUCUGUGUAAUUUCCUGUCACAGAUUUCUGCAUCAGGUCUGUAUUUUUCUGGUUUUGUAGCUCCACCGUCAACUCAGACCGUAGGCUGGAAAACAGUCAGUAAGGAGGGGAGAAAUCAAGAAAUCUGAGGUCAUAUAAUUCAGAUUACACUACACAUAAUCGAUGGUUUUAAUUGGCUCUAGACAUUGUCAACACCAUCGUCAUUCCAGGUCCUAAUUAGCUGGUUAGACUGCAAACCAUUUACGCCACAUUUAACCAACCGCACAUAUUCAGGGUAUUUUGGAGAAAGUUUUGACCUUAAAUUCUCACUUUGUUUGUUUUUUUCACUACUUUAGGUGUUCUCAGUGGUCUUUAAAUUGUGAUUAUUAAGUUUUUAGUCUGAGAACAAGAUGGCUGCAUGCUCUUCCAUGUGACAUGUGGAGAGGAUGUGAUUGGGAGCUGGUUAACCUUCACCGGGCUCGUUAGAGGGGAGCCAUCUUUAAAAGCCUCUUCCUCUGUCUGCUCUGGUCCUUCUCUCACAGCUGACUUUGACUCCGCCUUGCAAUAUUUGAAUUAUACUAAGUAAAGACACUUGAGGCGGUUAAGACUGAGGUAGGGUGGGGUACCCUUUACAUUGUACAACACUUAGUCACACUUUUGUAAAGCACACUAGGUUAUGGGUUGGUGCCAUCAGUGUACGUUUUGAGAGACUUUUCUUAGCCAGUCAGUUAGGCCCUGUUCUGUUGUCUUAAGUUCAUUUAUUUUCCACUCUUCUCCACACAGUCUGCUCUCCCUCCCACCUUUCCUUCCCUUUUGCUCAUUACCUGAUUUUUGUUAAACAAAUAUUCACACUCUGAAACUCCUCCUUGUUUGUUUGUGUUACUUCCUGGUGCUCAGCUAGAGGAGCGUAGCACUAAAAUCACGUUGCCUGUGCCUUUUUUAAGUGUUUUUCUUCUGCAGAGCUGCAGUAGCUCUUUAGCAAUUCUAAGUCGUGGGCGGAGACAGCGCUGCUCUGCACACUCCUCUUCACGUUGUUAGCUUGCAGCCUAACAUUGCCGGUGUCGUAGAAGAAACGGGUAAAAUAGGAACUACUCAGCUCGCAGACACUAACGUCUUUGGGGACAAGAUGAAAGUUAAUAUCAUAAUUAGCUUUCUCACGAGCCUUACGAUCCGCUAACGCACACACUCGUUCCAUGAUCAUCCUCUCUACUUCUCUGAGUCUAGUCAUAGCGGGGCUCAGGGGGCGGAGCUUGGAUUUGUGAUGUAGGAAAUCUCACUACAUCUUAACCUGCCGUUCAGGUCUGUGAGAGAUUCACGGAGAUUUGGAAAAACUCAGAAAUUCAAUUUCACACUUAUUUUUCUCUUGAUGUGUCCUGUAGCAUCAGAAAAACGAACACGUAGACAACAUAAAAACAUGAUUUUCAUCGGAGUGGCUCUUUAACAGGAUGAAGCACAUCUUCAGCCUCAGAUUGUUGAGUCUGUCUUAUAUGAGAACCGAGCGUCUCGAGUUUAAAUGUCUGAAGCGUGUCCGCCUGUCCGCCUUCCUUCAUAAACAGUAGUUUCUCUUAUAAAGAUUCAUGACGCUGAUGACAACCUCUCAAACUUUUGCUGUUCGAUUUCUCCCCUGUGUCUGUGAAACCAUAACAGCUAUGACUGAAUCCGAUCCGCUCUACGACUUUUUUAACUCGCAGUCGUCGUGUUUUGAUCGCGCGUUGUGAAUCUUCACUGGAAUCUCAUUUUUUAUCUCCUGCCAUGAAUUAUUACGGUAUGAGUAACUUUGCAGCUGUACUUCAGCCCCUCUGACUCCCUCCUGUUCUUGGAGCUGGUUCAGGUCAUGGAAAAGCCCUGCAGAGUGACAUCAUGGUGCACAUUCAGCUCCGGGGCCGGCAUCUGAGCAGCACCUGUAAUGAGGCUACCCUCCUUUAAGCCGUAAAGAAAACACCUGGACGGCCUCUAACCUGAAUAACAUCACACUGUACAUGUCGUCAGGUUAUGGUCGGUACUGCGCGUCAUGGUGACAAAACGCAGUGGGCCUGGAAGCUUUAAAAUGAAUCAUCUGUGAUAAAGUAUGUUGACAUUACAUGGAGGGUCAUUUAUCAGCCUUUAUACUCCCUCCUGUAUAAUACAGACAUUAGCAGUUCCCAUAGAGAAAUCCAUCACAAACACUCACAGCGCUGCAGCGAUGUGCUCUUCAUCUUAAUGACUAUUUUGCAUUGUCAGAGGGACAAUCACAUGGACGUGAGUGAGUCAUGUGUUUGUCCAUGAGGACAUCACCUGGGAUCUCUCUGUUCUGUAACAGGACAUGUUCGCACAUGUUGUCAGCUAUCCCCUGAGUUUAGGUAACGCCCAUACGGCUCGAUCUGCAAGUGUUUCAGUGACUUUCUGAGAGUAAACACAGAAAUGUACAGAAAGGGAAAGGACACCCAGCUCAUCUGAAGUCACAUGAGAAUCUGAAAACUGAUAAAUUAUGAUCGGGAGAAUAUUCAUAAACAGUCAACGCUGCUGCUUGACUACAGACAAGCACACGGACAAAUAAAGAGGGUUUCCACCCAGCAACACGGAGAGAUAAGCACUCUGCUCCACACAAGGUAUGUCGUGCAUGUACAUACCGCUGGACUCCGAAGGUCAACAUGGAGUAUGUUGACAUUUUUGGGUCCCUAAUGUCUCUAUAUGGUGAAGCAGAUCCACUCAGCCUGCAGGAGAGAUGGAUGAACUCAGAGUGGAGGCGUGGAGGGCGAUCCACCCCUCCUUGAUACCCUCAUGUCAUGCCCAAAUACCACAUAAGUGCCCUCUUGAAUCCCUGUGUGGCAGAUAAAACAACAAAACGCUCUUUCAGUGAAAAACAAACUCUGGAGGAUGCCAACUCUAACACCGCAGCUGUGUACAGAGGACUCUCCAGAUGCUCUUACAGGAGUUAAAAUGGAAAUAAAGCGCCUUAAGGUCGCUCGAUCUGCUAAUUUAAUCUAUCUAAUGGUCUCUCUUUGCUCUUUUAUAAUGUAAACAAAGUGCUUAAAUAUAACUUUUGGGUCAUUUUUAAACUGUAAAACUGUGUAAAAAAGUAACAUCCUUAAAGGGAUAUUCCAGCGUAAAAUUUAUUUAGGGUCUCAUCUAAAACGCCACUCGAUCAUAAAUGUUCUUCCUUGAGCUGUGGCACCCCGCUGUAGUCCGUAAUGGACUGGCCUGAGGUUUCCCUACAAACAAACGUCUGCUGGAAGAGAGUAGGUGAGUCGUGUUUAGUCUCUUUACUAAAGAAAUUAGUCAAAGUCAAUGGGGGCCCUCUAUUUCUGCCAAUAAUAUUGAUUGUUGAUCAUUCACACACCUACUACAGUAUAAAUUUGAUGCACCUGACAUGUCUUUACACAUCUAAGGGGGUGGCCUAGGUAAUAACAUAAAUAACACCAACGCAACCAUGCAAAUAAUACCAAUGAAUGACUGAUGAAUGAUGUUCAGGGGGCCAUUUAUGGUUUUUAAUCUCAAAAUGUAACACAUUCAGGACGCUCAGUGCACAUCACACAGCAGGAGGAACAUAACGGAAGCAGAGCUUUGACAUAUCGGCGGUAAGAAUCGUAGGACUACAUCAGAAGCACUAAAACGUUUUUACUUUAUUUUAUUUUUACAAUAAUAUAUAUUUGAUCAGACAGAAAGCAUCACUCAUACAUGCAAAAAAUAAAAAGGUUUCCAUUUUUUUCUUUUUUUUGCUCUUGGGGGCCCCCUACUGGCCGCGGGGCCCUAAGCAAGCGCUUAGUUCGCUUAUGCCUUGGGCCAGCUCUGGGCUAGUACUAUGUCUGUGACCUAUAUGUCCUGUUGAUGAAGUUAGGUGCUGUUCUGAGCAUUAUUUGUGGCUAUAGAGUGGCGUUUUGGUUGAGCGCGUGGCUCUCUGUAUUGCUAUCCUGCGGUCGUUACUAAAGUUGGUAUAACUAGAGAAGCAAGCAGUCGACAACAUUCAUCUCUUGAGGGGGGGUCUAACUCGGUGUUAUAGUGUGUUUGACCCUGAAUUAAUCUAACCCCGGAAUAUCCCUUUAAGCUGUGUUGAACUUUCCAAACAAAGUGUCUCAGGCAGAGGCUGAAAUGAUGGUUUUCAUAAAGUAAGUUUAAAGAGUUUUUUUAGCAGAAAAUCUUGCACGGUUACCCCCAGACUGGCAAAUGAAAAGGUGAAAAGUGGAUUUGUAAGAUGAGAGGUGGCGUAAUCAGAAGUGUCUUUGUCUUUUUUCAUUCACUCUGGAUUACAAAACUCACAGACCAAAAUAGAUCAGGUGUGAAAAACAUGUGGUGCAACGGGUAAACACCGAAGGUGUCUCAACAAGUCGCUUAACCGAUGAUCCAAAUCGAGGCCAAUCAGGGUUCAAAUUCAACAGCAGGUGGAGGUGGAACAGCAUGGAGGCCUCGUUUGAAGUUUCAUUCCACUUACGGACCUCAAACCGCCAUAAUGACACACCUGUAAUGACUGCAGGGCAUGGAUUGUUAUUUCCUGUCAUUGCACAUAUUCAUAACCUCAGGUCAGCUCUAAAUACAUGUCAUUGACUCUUCUGUACACACCGGGACGUGUCAAAGCACAUACAGGCUAUUUUAAAACAUGUUUCAUGGUUUUCCUGUAAGAACAAUAACCGAUCCUUUAUGUAAUGUUUCUAUCACACACCCUUCACCUGAGGAACGACGCCAAAGUAAGGGCUGAAAAUAUACGCAGUUAUCCAUCACAGGCGGAGUGAAAAAGCUGCAGCCAUCGUAAUAUCUUCACUUUAAAACAUACAGUACUGUUGUAAGUGAGCGAGGUCAGGAGGCCGCUGCACGCCGUCACUGUGGAAAAUCCUUCAGCACAGGCAGUGGUCCAGAGGAUGAAUGAGUAAGGCAUUUUUCUGCUUUGCCAACCUGAAACCUCUUUGUGCUUUUACAGGCAAACUCAUAAACCACCGCCAGCUUAUAACCGAGAAGCAUAAAUGCCGAACAUUUAUGACUAGGCGAUUAAUUUCCUCAGGACAAAUUUUCCCCCUGCUUUGAAGUGGGAACAGUAUAACUUCUGGAACAGUCGAAAUACCAUCGCUUAUUGUUUGGUGACUUUACAUAAAAGGUGUUAGUAUAAACAGCGCCGUGUGGCAGGAGGCCGCUUUUUAUGGCGGCUUUGGCCUUCAUGUUUCUUUUACAGCUGAAGAGACUGAUCCUGAACCCCUGUGUUUCAAAGCUCCUCGCACCAUGUACAAUCCUCCACUCCAAAAAAAAAAAAAAAAACACCCCCACUCCUCUGCAGGCCUGCACACAAUGGGCUCUCAUUCAGCCCAUCUUCUUUUAAACACCAAUAAAAUCUUUUACAUUUCCUCAGCAGGCAGUUAAAAUCCGGCUGACUACCGUGCAUUCCCCUGCGCUCUGCUGAGUCUCAGGUGGAGUUUUCAUCUUGUUGUUCUGGUGUUGUUCAGCGUUGCCACAUUCUUAAAUCAGAAGAAGAAGAAGAAGGAGAACAAGAAGAAGAACAAGAACAAGAAGAAGAAAAAGAAGCCUGUUUACGUCCAGACUCAGACUGAAUCUGGACUUUAAAAGUACAUGUGCUGAUAAAAAUGUCAUAGUGUAGUAUGAUUAAAAAUGUCAUCGUAAAAUAUGAAAAAAUAUGUCCAAGUAUGGUAUGAAAAAAUAAUUAAAGUAUGAUAAAAAAAAAAAUGUCAUAGUAUUGUGUGUUAACAGUAUGUCAAAGUAAAGUAUGAUAAAAAAAAUGUUAUAGUAUAGUAUGAUAAAAAUGUCAAAGUUUAGUAUGAUAAAUAUGUCAUCAUAUAGUAUGAUAAAAAUGUAAAAGUAUAGUAUGAUAAAAAAAAUGUCAUAGUAUGGAAUGAUAAAAAAAAAUCAUGGUAUUGUAUGACUAAAAUGUCACAGUAAAGUAUGUUAAAAAGAUGUCAUAGACUGGUAUGAUAGAAAAAUGUCAUAGUAUAGUAUGAAAAUAUUAUUUAUAGUAAAGUAUGAUAAAAAAAAAUGUCAUUGUUUUGUAUGUUAAAAGUUUGUCAAAGUAUGAUAAAAAUGUCACAGUAUAGUAUGAUAAAAAAAAUUCAAAGUAUAGUUUUAUAGUUUUUUUAAGUAAAUUUUAUAGUAUAGUAUGAUAAAAAAAAAAAAAUCAUGUGCUAUGUCCUACCCUAAUACUCUUUCCUAUAUAAAGCAGAAGCUCUAGCUCAAAGGGUUUUGAAGCUUAAAUUUAGAUCCAUAGGUUUUUGGGAUUUUAGGUUUUUGAUGUCACAGUGGAGGGUCUCACCAAUCCCGGCAUAAAGGAGGUGAACCAGAUCAGACCGAGUGAAAGUUGUAUCUGUCACUAUGUGUUCUCUUUAUUGAGUUUUUCCCUGUGAUUUGAGUGAAUUUUCCCUUGUGUUUCUGUUCCCCUGUAGUCUUGUCUUGUGACCCCAGUUCCCUCAUGUUCUCAGUGUUUAUUCUCUAUUAUCAGUUUUCAGUGUUUCCUGUUUUAUUUUGUAGUAGUUCAUUCCCUUGUUUUACUUCCUCAGUUAUCCCUCCUCUGUAAUCGUCCUCACCUGUGUCUCAGUGCCUCACCUGCCUCUCGUUUCUCGUUUCCCUGUGUUUGUAUAUAAAGUCCUUCUCUUCCCCUGUUUCUUUCUUUGGUUCAUUUUGUGGAUUUAUGUUGUAAGUCUGCACGUCAAUGUCUCCAUGUGUUUUUUUUCCCUCAGUGUCUUUGUCUUUUGUUGGAUUUUAGAUUUUUUUAAUUAUUUAGAUUUUGCCUCCUGUGUUUCUUGGGAUUUUUGAGUUGGACAUUAUAAGAGGGUUUUUGUUGCUUUUUAUUUAGUUAUUUUUUCAUUAAAUCACCUUAUAUUCUGCAAUUGGGUCUUUUUUUUUCUUGUCGACUGUUUUGGUGUAUUAUGUCAUCGUUCCACUGGGAAACGACCUUUAGCGACCUGCUAAAAACCAGCUCUCUGUUUGUUUGUGUGAUUUUUGUCGUGGUUGUUGACUCUGGAUGUUUUUGUUUGGCCCCGCAGACCCAAAUGAAUCCAUUUAAUCAACGUUCAACUCCUGAUUUAGUUCAUUGAGUGGCUUCUUGUGCUUCAUACUUAUCUGAACUAUUUGUUCAAAAGGAGCUGGAGGACUAUCUGAACAUCCUGUCACAGAGUGUGCACCUGUAAGACGGUGUUUAUAGAUUUCAGAAUGUCUGACGGUGGCUGGAAUGUAAAUCUGAAGGACCUCCGAAAAAAGGGAAAGGAAGCAGAUAAGAUACAGAGAGGGGGGGUUCAAAUGUCACUUUAAUACAAGACUCUGUUUUUUUAUCUUUUAUAAAAAUAUUCUGUAGUUUGAGACUCUUCGGACAAUAAAAGACUAUGAAGUUUAAGGUCUAUAACACUGAAUUUACAACCGGUACUUAAAUAUCAACAUUCACUCUAUCAUUCGUCUUUCUUUCUAUUUCACAGAAAUGUUUUAGAGUAAAAAGACAUAUUUAAAGUACUAAGGGAAUAUAUUUUAGGUACAUAUCUGACUUUUUUUCUCCUUUUUAUUCAGAUAAGUUUGGUAAUGAUCUUGAUUUUUCAGUUAGAUUGCGAUUAUCUUUUGUGCUGUUGGAUUUGUUUGCAUGUCUGUGAAAGUGCUUCAUUAAACCUUGUUUUAAAGUGAUUUCUGGAUAAAGUUAAGCAUGUUUGGGGAUAUCAUUUUAAUUCAGAGGAGUUGACAUGCCUUUUGAAAUGUUCUAGACCCCCAAAAGUGAAAAUAGUACCUAAUAAACUACCUCAGACUUCUCCCUGUUUUUAACAACAAAUUAUCCAGAUUAAAAGACGUAUAAUAAGUCAACUUUUCUCUGGCAGAUAUUUUUACUUAUAAAAAGCAUUUCAGGUCUUAUUUUUUGACCUGAGAUCAAACCACAAAUCUGGACUUUAUGUUGAGUCUUGUUAAAUAUUUUCACUAAAAUAAGACAAACUCUGUUGCCAACAUUUGAGUUUUUGCAGCUUAAACACAGUUAAAACAGUCUAUGUUGCACUUUUAAGCAUGUUCUUGACGUCAUGCAUUAAGAUAAUACAGAAGAAGGUAAAGUGGGUUUACUUUCAGCCCAGUUCAGAUCAAAAUCGGUUCAGUUUCUGGGAGUUUUGGGGGGAAAUGUAGGCUCCAGUUUUCUCAGCGUUCAGGCACAAUUUGUUGCCGCGCUGUUCCACAUGUGGGUGUUAACCGCUGCACACCGUGAGGCAUUUCUAACAUGAAUGCAGCCUACCAUUAGCUGAGCAGUGAAGAUAAUACAACUUCCUCUUUCCACAUGUUAGGACCUGACAGCCAAUUGGAGCCAUAAAAGUCCAGAAGGUUCCCAUAGCCGGCAGUUCACACCAGGCAGACUGUUGUUAAUGUUAAUGAGCUGUGAUGGCAGCCUGCUUGGUUGUCAAGGUCAAGGCUAGCACCGCUAACAAGGAUGGGAAGGAGUGAGGAGACAAGUGGCGAAGCAUUGCAGAGCCGUCAUUACAGGAGGAGAGGGGAGGAGGAGGUGUUUGUGUUCCUGUGUUUGUCCUGGAUGAGAAGGAGCCUGAGAGACCAUGAGAGGAACCAUACUCUAUGAGAGACUACGCAGCUGUUUCAGAUCUUUUCGGACAAAUUCAUCCUCCAUCAGAAAUCUCAGAGACUCCGCUCGCUCUCGUCUUCGUUCUGUCGUCAUCAGAUGUUUGUGCGCACAGAUUUUAUGUGGUGAAAUCAUGUCAAACAAGGAGGCAGAAAUGUUUGCAGCCUGGAGUCUUGGAAAUGCUGCAUCUCUGCCUUUCUCUGUGGCUGCGCUUUUAUCGUACACAAAGUCAUUUAUGUGGUUUUAAUGUAUGUAUAUUGUGAACGUAUGUGCCACAUGUUUAAACAAACGCACAAUAAUGCGGUGCUCCGCUGUGUUGUUUACUAUAUAACAGCAUCCAUCAUUAAAAACAGACACGUUUUAUUGGUUUCUGUGCUUUGCAUUAAGUCUUUGCUUCAUUUUUAUUCUAUUAGAGCAUCUUUGUCGACUUAAGUGUUCUUUCUUUAUUACUCUGCGUGCUUAUAAACUAUCUGGGUACAUAUUUUACAGCUUUUUAGCAAAGGGAUCAUAUGACCUCCACCGGCAUUUUAACAUCAGUGGUUGUUAAAGCCUCAAUAAGUGUGAUUUGUAAUAAAAGAUGGAUGCAUGAAAUCAAAGUUUAAGUGACUCCAGGUGCCGCUCGAAAAACAAAGUGGAGACUGUUUGAACAGGUGUGUAUUUUCUAACCUUUCACACUCAUAUACAAGUAUCUCCACUGCCAGGCUGAAGUGUUUCACUCACAUUUUCAUACCCACCACCACCACCACCACCCUAACAUCCACCUGCAGGCCCUGACUGGGAGCUGAGAUCUGCCAACUUCCAAAUGAUAAAACACUUAAAGGUGGUGUAGUCAGGAUCUGAUGAAGUUCCUGUUUUUAGGAGAAAUCUUGAAUGUAAACUCUACCCCUCCCAACCAGUUUUCCCCUCAGCUCCUCCUCUCCCCUCAAGCCCCGCCCACAAACAGACGCUCCUGCUCGCUCGUAUCGUUCCAAUUAAAUUCAGAUAUAAUGCAGAUAAAUACUUCAGAUCAUUACAAAUGGGGCCCAGUCAAGGUGAAAGUCAAAAGCAUUGGUGCUACUGUAGAUGCCAACAGACUACCAGCAAACACAAUGUUUGCAGGACUUCUACAACUAGGAUAAAGUGACAUAGUCCAGGACCCGAGGGAGGACAGUUUAGCGAUGGCGCUACAACACGCUACAGCAGGUCCGUUUGACAAGAAACACUUCUGUUACAGACACUUGUCUUACUUUGUUAAAGCGGUUUACCUGUCCAGCAGAAAGGUUACAGGGUCACCAAGAUCCCCAAGCGUCCCCCAUGGUUUAUGUUGACCCGGCUUUUUAGCUCUUGUCCGGUCUACCUCCGUUUUAAGCGCCCGUUAUUCCUCCAGAGUCUCCGGUAUUUACUUUGUUUUCUUGCUUGUGUCGGCAGUCGUGGCCAAAGGAGGAUUCAGACAAUUUUCCGAACUUUCUGGUUGGUUUCUACUGUCCGAUAUUGUAGCACGCUAACUUUGUUUGGGCUCCUGAACGACACGGGGGAGCAGCGUCUGCCUCACAACCAAUCAGGUUAGAGGAGGUGGAGAACGGCUUUGUUUACAGUCAGAAUAAGCCGAGCGCACUGAUAUUUUAAAAUGUUGACGACACAGACAUAAGAGAACACAGAGAUAUCGUUAUAUUACCAAAUGUCAUCAAUAACUAAUAACUAUUGACUGAUAUUAAAAGCUGUUUUGUAAAUACACCACAAAAAAAAGAUGCUUCUUUAACCGAUUCCUGCCUACCACAACUUCAAUUUCUCUGAGUUGGUGAUGGGAGUGGUCGACGGGGUUGCUAACAUGCACACCGCCACCUACUGCACCAGACUGACCACAGGUGCAUGUGUUAAGUCACUAGUGCAACAUCUCAGAGCUCACAGAGAUGCUCUUGUAGUCUUAUGUUUAUACAAUAGAAGGAUAUUGGGAUGCACUGUCCUUCGUGACUUACAGUGAAUGGUGUUUGGAAUGGUUUUGUCUUUCUAUCACUGCCCCUAGUGGCAGAUAUGAGUAUUACAACGACACUUGGGAUAAUCACUCUGAUUUUUUAAAAAUAAUUUGCUGCUAAAAACAGUCCAAACACACCACUUAGGAUACUCAGACUGAAUACAUGUGGGUGGUUCUGCUUACUCUUCAACCAGAUAAUGUCAGACAGUCUCAUUGCUCAUACUUUCCUAAUGCUGAAACAGAAACAUGCAGAGAAACAGAUGAGACCCGGGCUCAUGAACCAUAUAGGGAAAGUAAUUCAGCUCCUGUUUACAGGGAUUCUUGUACACAACUUGAUAAUAUGAGGACACACACAGCAGCUCUUUAACGGACACACACGGACAUGUUCCAUCGAUAUAAACACGAUGUAGAGACUAAUCAGAGAGGAGUGUUAUGGCAGACACAUCAGAUGUAUUUAAGCAGUCAGAAACAGUCCUGGUCCAGUGUACAAUGGCGGUGAAUCAGAGUCCCUGCAGUCUUAUCUUUAGCCACCAUGAACCCACCGCAGAUCCUGACAAGGCUAGGUCACAUAUUUAACCUUUGACCCCAGUCCCAUCCAUGAGAAGUCAGCGAGGAGGAGUCACAGUGAGAGCUUAGCAAAGGCGGAGAGAGACACUCAAGAAGGAGAGAGUCUGAGUGUGUGUAUGUGUGUGUGUGUGUGUGUGUAGGUGUUUAUGUCAGACGGUGUCCAAUGUAAACAGCUUGGACGCCGUCUGUCACCGCGGCGCAGAAACGUGGUUGUCCUGCUCUCGCUGUCCCAUUUACAGCUGUUAUGAAACAGCCUUUAGGGGCUGAGGUUAUGGAAGCAUACCAUAUACUGAAGCUGCAGCUCACACUUUUAUAGUGCUCCGAGGGGAGUGAGGUAGUGUGCUACAUUUAACUCUGUUUAUAUGGAGGAACAAACUGUGCGUGUCUGCGCUAAGGUUUGCCAGAGGUCAGGAAACCUGCUGACUGAUGUUCUCAUCUCUCAGGUUUGAUGCCUUGAAGCAAGGCACUUAGAAUAAUCCCUGUUUCUUUACCUGCGCUCGCAGAUAAACCAGCCAAUCAGAUGCCAGAGCUCUCCUCUCAUUUGAAGACUAAACAUUACAUACAAGUGCAGCAAGUACCCCAGCUGUGAAACUCGUACUCAGGAAGCCAUGGUCAGUCAUGUGGAUUUGAACUAGUCCUUGAUGGGGCUGUUCCAACAUGCUUUCUGUGCAAAACAUGCUCCUAACCAAACCUCAUUGCAAAAAAAGCAAAUUUACAGACUCUGACCCAAACAGCCACAUGCACAGCGUCAUUUUUCAUGGACUGCAGAAAGCUGAUGAUAUUUUAUAUAUCUCUUCUCAAACUUCAGACAUACGGCCAGAGGGUGCUCGUUUGUCUACAUUAUAAAUCAUUUCCAAGUGAUGAAACCAAACACUUAUUUUGGAAGCACGAUCAGCAACUGAGCUUUGAACUGAAUACUGAACUGAAUUUUUAGGGCAGUUCUUCAAGGGAUAUUCCAGCGUAAAAUUAAUUUAGGGUCAAACACAUCGUAACACUGAGUUAGACACACUCUUCAGAGAUGAAUGUUGCCGACCGCUUGCUUCUCUAGUUAUACAAACUUUAGUAACGACUGCAGGAUAGCAAUACACAGCGGUCUGAGGAGCCACAAACAAACCUCAACCAAAACGCCACUCUAUAGCCACAAAUAAUGCUCAGAACAGCACCUAACUUCAUCAACAGGACAUAUAGGGUCACAGACAUAGUACUUUAUUCAGAAAACAUAAACUUAAGCGGGUGCGUUUCUCCGCCUCUGUAGUCUAUAAGCUGGGCCAAUAAACUUCUUCUAUAGUAAAAAUGAAAAGGUAAAGGUGUUUUUAUUGAGCCGAAUUAUCAAUAAAAUCAUAAUUUUGUUAACAUGUAUGGAUAUAUGUGCUGUUGAGAUAGUAUAUGUGAACAAGGGCAUAGUAAAGUUAAAUCAAAUAAUUUUCCAAUGAGGUUCUGUUACUAAACGGAACUACACCAUGAUCUUACUCAGGUUAGUACAUAUAGGGUCCCAGCCAUCGUACUAGCCACCAAACAGCUUUUUAACUUUGACUAGGCCAGUCCAUUACAGACUACAGCGGGGUUUCGCAGCUCAAGAAAGAACAUUUAUGAUCAUUACUUUAUGAAGAUGCAAUUAGACCGAGAUGCUAAGGCAGAAGAACUACCGCGUCUGCAGUGAAAAAUGAUUAAUAUGGUGAUUAUUACUUCAAGGAAAUGAUAAAGAAAUGUCACAUGUAUAAAUGAAAGAGGAGGAGGAACUACUUUUACUUUAAUUAUUUAGCUCCAACAAUUCAGUGUUCUGUAAAACCUCAAAGACUUUCAGACUGAUUUAGUUUAAUCUCUUUUGUCUGUGUUAUCUUCACUUCCCUGUUAAAUUACACAUAAAAUAAAAUAGUGUUUCUAUGUAGAUGAAUUACCUGGCUGUUUGGAGAUGCCACUUCCUGGUUGGAGCAAAAGGCGGGGCUUAAAGUGGAGGACAUUUAUGCUUCAGUUGGCUUGUUGGAAGAUACCAAGUGGUCUAAAGACAGGGGUGGGUUUGGUUAUUAUUACAUGAAAUGUAGUUGUACUUAGACCAUGAUCCAGUUCGCUCUUUGUAACCCAGAUAUGAAGCAUUGCUGUACAAAAGAUGAAUUUGAUGAAUAUAAAUUUUUCAGCAGCAGUUGUGCAAUCACGUUGAAUCUGUAUAUUGCACGAUUUGUCAAAGAUGUGCAAGAUUUUAAGUCCUGUGACACGCUGAGUGCAAUGCCAUGCAGACCCUUCAGCCGGGCCAGGCUGAAUGUCAACACACUUCUUUCUCGCUGCACAUUCCAGCUCUAAGGCCAGGCAACAGUCAAAGGAACCAGGCAAUUACAGCACAGCCGCCUGCGUCACUUUUCUGUUUACUUCCAGAAAGUUCAGAAGUCUCUGAGCCGUUUGAAGUCCUUUCCUCGUGUUCAAGGGGCUUCUCUCGUUCUCUCUGAAGGCAGAAAAUAGCUGUGAGCGAAGUGUACGGAUCCAGCUGUGUGCCAUACUCAGUCCCAUCUGGGCCACACUCUGCAUGUGGUUCACUACAGACACACAUACCGGCUGUUCACCAGUGUUGUUUGGGUUUUCUGUCAGGUUGCAGUCCAGCUAAUGAUUGAGUUAUAAUGAGAAAAUUCCAGACUUUGUUUUCUCGCAAAUUUUCUGCUCCAAAACUAAAAGAGUUGACAAAUGUUCCCUGAAGUAACAAACGAGGAAACAUUGUAACAAAUCACAAUAAAAAUGACGAGUAAUUACUAAACAUAGUAAAUAACAAAAAACACACAUUAACUUCAAAAGCUGUGCAGACUGAUCAAAAAUAUUCCCAUACAACUGUGACAAAGAGGCAGGCAUAGAUACAUAUAAGAAAGGCUAGAUGACUCGAGUCACUGGAGUCCCUACACGGCGGCCAUCUUACUCCAGUAUACCAUUCUGGUUCUCUCUAUGGUAGUUGACGGGAGGUGAGUAAUCUGCAUGAUCAGAAAUACUCUUAACUCGCUGAAAUUCUGACAGAUUUACAAACUGUUUUGUUUAUUGCAGACCUUAAUAAUGGGGGGGCUAUGAGUCGGGAUGUUUGGACAUACUGAAAUGGCAGAUUUACCUUGAGUAAAAAAAAGACUUAAUCAUGAAGCUCAGUUGUUUCACGGUCAUUUGUGCGCAAGGGCUAACUUUGAGUCGCUUUGUCAAGGCUGAGACCACAAUCAAGAUUUUUAUUUCUUGUAUGACAGACUAUUUUUUAUUUAUUUAUUUAGUCUAAGUGUCAGUCUUUGUGGAUGUGCUUGUGUUCACCAGCUGUCUAACUUGGCGAACAGACUCGCUGUGAGUGAGACCAAGAACAUAUUACAGAGUUGACCCAGUAAUUUUACAUCAAUUAAAGAGGCAGAAAUGCUCUUUAGAUUCAAUAUAACUGAAGUUGCACAUGAUUUCCAAGCUGUUUGGUUUGUUAGAAACAUAUUAAAUGGCAACAAAUAGAUAUUUAGAUAUGUUAUUGUUAUAUGUUAUUAUAGUUAUCCCUAUAAUAGAAAUAUAACUAAUAUAACAAAGUUUUAGGUUGAUGUUUUUUUUUUUUUUUUCUCUCUCAGUUUGAUGCACAAAGGAUCUGUUUCAGGUCUCUUUGGGUCGUCAGAAGGAAUGCACUGCACCGUUUAGAUUCCAGGUCGACAACUUCUUCUGCAACUAACUCUCGCUUUUCACUCCCAGGUGUGGUCAGGGCUGCACAGUUGAUGAGUUCGUCACCACAUGUCUGCACCCACAUCACAGGCUAAGAGUUAUCUGUGAACUCUUGGCUCUACUCCGCUGAUAUCCAGAGCCCCAACUGUGCAGCCUUGACUGCAGUUUGCAGGUAUUUAGAGUAUCUCAUUCAUGGACUUUAUCUAUUCAGCCGGCCUCUUCCUGAGUCUGAAAGGAGCAAAGCUGAGUGAAACAACUUUGACAUCCAGGGUCGAAACUAAACGUCCAGAAAGCUUCUUCAGCGUCUACCGCGGAGGCUUCAGUCCAGGUUUCAGUGUGACAACUAUCAGUGUGUUGGGCGUGUGAUGGUUUCAGUUUGGGAUUAGAAAUGUGAGUGAUGUUUAUACAGGAGCACUGUUCAAAUCACAUCCAACAGAAAUGUGUCAGGGUCCGAUGUGGCAGAGGGCGUAGUCCCUCUGCUCAGCCGAUGGUCAUCGGCCGCGCGGCCGGUGGCCGGGGGCUGAGCAGAGGGCGUCCCCAAAUAAGGACGCCCUCUGCGUCCACUGACUCAUGUGUACACACGAGACAAUCAUGUAUUUUUUCAUAUAUCACUGUACUUUGUACACUCUAGACCUUCAAAAUUCACCAAGAAGUGGGCAAGGUAGGACUCGAACCUAUAACCUUUGGAAUCCCAGUCUGUGUUCUUAUCCACUGAGCCACUUGGACACACAAGCAAAUUGGGUUUUAAACAUAGAUUUUCAUUUUAGCGUCACUUGAAAUAAAUUGCAAUUGAAAGUUGGAGCUUGUGUUUGUUUUUAAGAAAAAAGCUGCUGAUGUUAACUCCCUAAUCUUUUUGAUUAUUUGUGCUUUUGUUUUCUUCAUUAUUAUUAUUAUUAUUAUUAUUAUUAUUAUUAUUAUUAUUAUUAACUGAGAAGUACUAUGAAUGUACUAAAGGGAUAAAUUGACUUUACUCCAGAAUUGAGUUAGCAAUAAUUUAUUUAAAGCCUCUGUCUGGAGUUUGGCACCCCCUUGUGGACAAACUUAUACCUCUAUAUCCUUAUAGUAGGCCAUGUGGCUCGUGUGUCCACAUGGCUCACAGGAUAAGAACAUUGACUGGGACUCCUGAGGUCUGGGUUCAACCCUUCUUCAGGAUGAAUUUUGAAGUCCAGGAGCAAAAGUACCAAGAUAAAAGCACGCAGAGCUCAUGCCCAACUGUGGAUGGUCUCCGGUGGCGCAGUGUGGUAGACAUCUAACACCCUAAUGUGAGCCAUGUGUUCUGGUUGAAGACUGGCUCCUGGUUCGAAACCCGCUCAGCCCAGGGGUGUGGGGUUACCCCCCCCCGGUGUUUCCAGAGAGAUAAAAUAGUGGGGUUAUGCAACAGGAAGUCAGAGCAGGCUGAACUUUAGAGUAAGGAUGGGGAGAAGUGUUGCGGGGGGGAUUAAAGGGGGGGCGGCCUUUGGUCACCGGCCGCGCGGCCGGUGGCCGGGGGCUGAGCAGAGGGGCGUCCCCAAAUAAGGAUUGAACCCACUGACUCAUGUGUACACAAUCAUGUAUUUUUUCAUAUAUUACUGUACUUUGUAGACUCUAGACCUUCAAAAUUCACCAAGAAGUCAGCAAGGUAGGACUCGAACCCACGACCUUUGGAGUCCCAGUCAGUGUUCUUAUCCACUGAGCCACUUGGACACACAAGAGAAUUGGGUUCUUUUUUCACAUAUCGCUGUCCUUUGUGGACUAAGACUUGAACCUACGAUCUCAGGAGUACCAGUGAGUCUCCUUAUCCCCUGAGCCAUGUGGACACAGAAGACCAUCAUGUUUUUUUUCAUAUAUCGCUGUACUUUGUGGACACUAAAUUUCAAAAUUCACUUAGAACUGGGCAAGGCUGGACUCGAACCUAUGACCUCAGGAAUCCCAGUCAGUGUUCUUAUCCUCUGAGCCACUUGGAGACACAGGAUUAUACUAUUUGUUUUCUCUUUCAAUUUCCUGUCUAGACACUAGACUUCAAAAUUCACCUUGUCCCGAAAAAGGCUCGAACACACCACCUCAUAGUAGGGUCUGUUCACUUGAAAAAAUGGCCAAAUUGUUAUGCGGUGGAUAAAAGCACCAAAUUUGGUACACACAUUCUUCAGGGUGUAUCUCAUCAUCUCAGAAGGGGUGCCCAAAAAUGCAUGAGUGAAAAUGGCUCAAAUGGAGGUCGUAUACCUGACCCAGUACAAAAGUCUCUCGUUGAUUUAUUUAGCAGAUAAAAAGGGAGUCCAUCUCUGCUGCUCUGAAACCACAUCUGAGUCCAAAAACAAAGACAAAGAAUAACUUCAUACUGCAAAACAAAGUGUGACGCCUGUCAGGAAACCUUAUAAAUCACAGCAUGAAGAUGGCGGGGGGUUAUUAUUAUAUGCCAUAAUAAGGUGUUGGUGUCUCUGCAGGUGUAGGUUACCGCCGGUGUCAGAGACAUGGUGCUCGUCGGAGCUCGACUUCCUCUGGAUCACAAAUGUUGAUCAUCAUCAGUUUGAUUGUUUCUUCAGAAACCACAAAAUCUCUCUGAAUGACCCGCUGAUACAUCCACAGAUAACCCUGCAUAUGACCAGCUUCAGUCAUUUCCCCCUCCACAAAAGCAGCUUCAUGACUUUAUUUACUUUAUGACUUUAUUCUCCUAAAUUUACAACUUUAAUCUCUAAAUGUUGUCCUGAUACUCUGCUGUAGUUUUGUCAGCUUUCUUAUUUCUAAUGUUUUUGAUAGUUGAAGCAGAGCGGAUCAGUUCGUCUCUAAAACUAUGAUGUUUGGUUUACAGAUUUUAGUGAGUUCAGAGAUCAUGCUCUCAUACAGCCUGAGCUGACUGUCUGCUGUUUUUGGAUUUCUUGUAUUUUCUUUGAAGACACGCUGUGUCUCCAAGCGAGUCCAGCCUCUCACCUGAAAUGCGCAGCUGUGCAGCGGCACGCAAAGCAUUCUGGGAUACCGACUCGCUUGGAGACGCAGCGCGUCUUCAAAGAAAUUACAAGCAAUCCAAAAACAGCAGACAGUCAGCUCAGGCUGUAUGAGAGCAUGAUCUCUGAACUCACUAAAAUCUGUAAACCAAACAUUAUAGAUUUAGAGACGAACUGAUCCGCUCUGCUUCAACUAUCAAAAACAUUAGAAAUGAGAAAGCUGACAAAACUACAGCAGAGUAUCAGGACAACAUUGAGGUUUUUUUCUUUUAAGAUUUAGAGAUUAAAGUUGUAAAUUUAGGAGAAUAAAGUCAUAAAGUAAAUAAAGUCAUAAAGCUGCUUUUGUGGAGGGGGAAAUGACUGAAGCUGGUCAUCUGCAGGGUUAUCUGUGGAUGUAUCAGCGGGUCAUUCAGAGAGAUUUUGUGGUUUCUGAAGAAACAAUCAAACUGAUGAUGAUCAACAUUUGUGAUCCAGAGGGAGUCGAGCUCCGACGAGCACCACGUCUCUGACACCGGCCGUAGCCUACACCUGCAGAGACACCAACACCUUAUUAUGGCAUAUGGAUUCAUAUCAUAAAUUAAAGCUCAAUGUCAUUCACGGAUAUUUACGGCUGCAUUGACAGAUAUAUCCUCAGCAUAUUCAUUUCUGCCUCCACAAAAGCAGCGAUUUCCUUCAAGUACACCAGUUUUUUUCCCCGUGGAAAAGACGUAUUUCUCAUAUAUUCUUUUUUUAAAUUUUUUUUUCUUUAUACUUAUGACAAUGUGAUGCUGAUGUGCCAGAGGAUGAAGUAUCUCCUAUCCUCCUUCUCAAUAGGGCCCUCAUACUCCUUCAUACAAAACAAUCAUUGGAUUAAUUUUGUGGGAAUGAUCUGUGCUUGUAUGUAUCUACUAUUUUGUGUCUGUGCAAGGUCGCACAAUUAAAACAAUACAUGCUGCGCUCCGCAGCUUUUUUCUAAUCAUUCGUGACGUAAGCCUGAGGGCGGGGACAUUUGGAGACCUUCAGAGGACUUCCUGGUGGAGUUGCCAAAUGUCCCCGCCCUCAGGCUCGCGUCACGACUGACUUAAAGGAAACCCGCGGAGCGAGCAUUUAUUGUUUUAAUUGUGCAACCUUGCACAGACACAAAAUAGUAGAUACAUACAAGCACAAUUCAUCCAAUGAUUGUUUUGUAAGAAGGAGUAUGAGGGCCAUAUUGAGAUUUAAGACUUUAAGGACUUCGAGAUUUAAGUCGUGAAUUUACGAGAAUAAAGUCAUUAAUUUAUGAGAAUGAAGUCAUAACCUGUUAUUUCAGAGAGACUUGUUAAAAUUAGGGCCAUGAAGCAUUUGAAGGAACUGUGCUUCAGUAUAGGUUUCACAAACAAGGAGAUUCUUCAUCCUCUGGCACAUCAGCAUAACAUUGUCAUAAGUAUAAAGACUUUAAGAAGAAUAUAUGAGAAAUACGUCUUUUCCACGGGGGAAAAAACUGGUGUACUUGAAGGAAAUCGCUGCUUUUGUGGAGGCAGAAAUGAAUAUGCUGAGGAUAUAUCUGUCAAUGCAGCCGUUAAUAUCCGUGAAUGACAUUGAGCUUUAAUUUAUGAUAUGAAUCCAUAUGCCGUAAUAAGGUGUUGGUGUCUCUGCAGGUGUAGGCUACGGCCGGUGUCAGAGACGUGGUGCUCGUCGGAGCUCGACUCCCUCUGGAUCACAAAUGUUGAUUAUCAUCAGUUUGAUUGUUUCUUCAGAAACCACAAAAUCUCUCUUAAUGACCCGCUGAUACAUCCACAGAUAACCCUGCAGAUGACCAGCUUCAGUCAUUUCCCCCUCCACAAAAGCAGCUUUAUGACUUUAUUUAUUUUAUGACUUUAUUCUCCUAAAUUUACAACUUUAAUCUCUAAAUCUUAAAAGAAAAAAAAACCUCAAUGUUGUCCUGAUACUCUGCUGUAGUUUUGUCAGCUUUCUCAUUUCUAAUGUUUUUGAUAGUUGUAACACAGCGGAUCAGUUCGUCUCUAAAUCUAUAAUGUUUGGUUUACAGAUUUUAGUGAGUUCAGAGAUCAUGCUCUCAUACAGCCUGAGCUGACUGUCUGAUGGUUUUGGAUUGCUUGUAUUUUCUUCGAAGACGCGCUGUGUCUCCAAGCGAGUCCAGCCUCUCACCUGAAAUGCACAGCUGUGCAGCGGCACGCAAAGAAUUCUGGGAUACCGACGGCACGAAAGCGUGCAUACAUGCACGCUUGAAAACGAGGCGGGGGUAGUGUGGUUUUGAGACCGAAUUUGAAGCGCGCUUAGUAUUUUGUGCCAAACGGGACACCGUUCGUGCCGCGUGGUGACCUCACGUACGCGUCAGAUGCGCCGUUCGAUGGCUGCUGUAUCUGAAAUGGGACACAGGAAGGGCACAGAACGGCGCAAAACGGCGUAAAACGGCUCAAAACGGCAGUGCACUCAGCUAAGCGCCGUUAAGCGCGCUUAUCACGAUGCGGUCUCUGAAAUGAGACACAGCCUUAGCAUCUCGUGCCAAAUGGGACACCGUUCGCGCCGUCGUAACGUCAUGCGCACUGACGCACUGAAAAGCCAAAAAGCCACGCCCCCUCACACAGAAAAAAAACCUUUGAAAUUCGCCAAACCAGAGGAGCAGUAAGCAGAGAGGGAAAACGGUCACCAUUACAACACUAACAUGUCAAAAAUACAGUUAAAUUUACUGUGUUUUUUCAAAAUGAAGGAAGAGUUUCAUGACACUCCAAAAACGAGUCAGUAAAGCCUCUACAAGCGGCGACGAGGGCAGCAACUGCGGCGGUUAUGUUACCGGUUUAAACCGGCUACAGCAGGAGGCUCGCGAGCGCCGCGACCAUAGACUGUAUACACUAUACUAUAUUCUACUAUACAGUCUAUGGCCGCGACAGUUAGCCGAGCCAAGGCAGGAGGCUGGUACCGCGGCAGGAGCUGGUUAGGUUCACCGCCAGCCGGAGCAGGAGCCGGUUACAGCCCGGUGGGCCACCAUCAGGCGGAUACGCUGGUAUCAGUUAACCCGGUACAACAACCGGAGUAAGAGGCGGGAACCGCGACAUCAGCAGAAAGAUCGAGAAGGAGAGGAGAGCGGACCGAGGAGAGGACUGAGGGACGGGAGGUCGUGGGUGAUCAAAGGACCCAGAACUGUCACAGACACACGGAGUUAAACCCGAAAUAGGAGGAGGAGGAGGAGGAUCCGGACAUGGUCGUGAUGUGGAGGAGUUUUGGACUAAACACGGUGAGUAAACUGUCUAUUAACAGGCCGCCGUGCCAAACUUUGACUAAUAAUAAUAGUAAUAAUAGAAGAUUUGUGUGAUUUAUUUAAAGCUCUUUUCUACGUUAGACAUGUUGAGAAAGUUAUUUUGCUGACUCUUUACUGCAAGUCCCACCUGUGGUGUUGUGGGCAUUUGUCUGUGCUGUGCAGAGUAGGGGAGAGUGGGUUAAGAUGAUCCAUUUUUCAUAUUUCAGAUCACUCCAUCAAGUCAAUCCUAGUUAUUCCAUGGAUGUUAUUUGAAGUUGAGGCUUGUAAGUCCCACAGCAUGGUAAGUGGGCAUUUGCAUGUUGUUUUCAGUUCAUUUUCGAUAAAUGUUCCGGGACCCGUCUCCUCAUCCCUGAGCUCUCAUAUUAUGAUUUACUAAUUAAAUACUGUGAAGAGGUGGUUCAAAAGUUAGAGACAAACUUUUGCAGAUGUUGAAAGAUCAACAAUUCAGCUCAUUGAGGACCAUUAUUUCUUAUUUUGCAGACGAGCAGGGAACUUUCUUGUCUCUUGUUGAUCUUUGGUUGCCUCUCAUUGGACACAACCGUCAAGGGAAAGAUAGAAGAAGAAUAUUAGACCAUGUAAUUGGUCGAAAGUUUGACAGAGAAAGACGUCAUCAAAACAUAUCGUCAAACCUGGAAGACAUUAGCGGCAUUUAGCGAUAGCUAUCUUUUUUAUCACAACAGUCUGAUAAAUAAUCCUGUUUUCACCGGUUUAUCACUGCGGAUUUACCACCAAACGUCUCUGAUCAAACACCUGUUUUUGUGGCUGGAUUGUAAACCUUGUGGCCGGUGUAGAAAUGUCUGGAAACCCUCAAUAGAUCGCCAAAAGGGUAAACUUUUGAUCACAUUUUAUCCUGUAGAGAUACGCUGUAUAAUUCCUGAGAAACUGUGAACUGUAUUAAUGGGGUCACGUGAGAUCGCUGGCGAUCCAGCAGAGUUCUAAGUGUUAAAUAAAUAAAGGCUCUCUUCUCUUCUUUUAGCCAACAACUCUUCCUUCAGUCCUGGGAUCUCCCCCCAGUGGACAGGAAGAGGAUCUUUUCCAAGUCAAGUAUCCAGGAUAAGGGUGCCAGAUGUAAAGAAAAACACUCUGAUUAGUGACCUUUAGAUUAAAACAGCAACACUUAAAUCGAUCCGCUCCUUCAAGUGGCUCUGUCAGAGAAACAAACAGUAAAAAGCCUUCCUUUGUUAGCAGAUCCUCGCUGCAGGAAAACCUCCUCUGUCCUCAUAAUUCCCCUCCUCUCUCUUUGGAGCCACUGAAACUGCCCGUGUCAUAAAAGCUUUGUUGGAUUUAGGGCCUAUAGGAAGCCUCGGGCCCCUGGCCAAUUCAAGCAAGCUGCUCUCAGCGAGUGAAACCAGAGAAAUGGCAAUGCUCGUGGGAGCAGGGGUAAUGAUUCAAAGACACCCAUUCAGCAGCCGCACACUCUCCCAGGGCCAUAAGCUACACAAUCAGGACUAUACAAGGAUCACACACUCUCUCUUCGUACCUCCAUGUAGUCAGUUAUGCAUACGUCUUACUGAUUGUUUUAAUGUUCUCAGUAAAGUGCCGACAAAAUCCUUGGAUUUAUGGACAUUUUUCAACAGUUUAGGGUCUGUUUAAAAGCCGUUAGCAGUGAAAAUAAACUCUUAUUUUGACCUCCUGUUAGAGAAUAAAUUUACCUCAUCACACUGGAGUCAUAAAACAUUUCUAAACCUAUUAAAUUAGCGACAUCAACUGCAGCAUAAUCAAAUUCCCUGCAUUAAAGAGCAUUUUGGAGACAUUCUGGGUAGCUGUCAGAAGUCAUUAAGUAAGAAAAGAAAGGUCACAUUGGGACACCAAACCAUAACGAAAAACAGAAGAGAAAUAAAUCCUCCUCCUUUCAGUGCGUUCAUCAACCAGUGUAUUAUUAAAGUAGAAAAAGCCCACCUUCAAAAUAUGAUUGAAGCUUUUGCACCAGCAGGUCAAGUUUUAGUCAGGGAAGGAGAUUUUACCAAAGACAGAUAGUUUUACCUGAGAAGCAGGUCGUCCUGCAAUCCAUGCAACAGCGUCAGAGCUAGUGGACAGGAUGUACCGCAAAACAGCUACUACAGGUCCCAUCACAGUAACAUCACCCAGAGUACGAUGCAUCAAUUAACACCAGGCAAAUCGGGGAAGACGAUAAGUCGGAAACCAAAUAAGGCAGUUUGCGCAAAAUGCUGAAAAAUUUUUGGUUUAGAUAGCUCUCCUCACAGUUUCUCUUUAAAGGAGCUGAACUAAACUGCAUCUAAUAUGGCUGAAACACUUAUCCUGCAUUCGAGUUACCUUGGAAAUCAGAUGUCGGAGCUGAAAAUGACGUCACACUCAAGUUUCAGUUAGCAAGUCUGGAAAAAAAAGCAAAAUCAGAGGCAGAAACAGGAUGGCUACAUCCACGAAAGUUAUUUUAACGCUUGUCUUAUGUCCGGACAAGGCAAGUGCUAAAAUAACUUUCAUAGACGUAGCCAUUUUGUUUCUGCCUCCGAUUUUGCUUUUUUACAACUUGGGAACUAAAACGCUGGUAACUCGGGUGUGACGUCAUUUUUAGUGACGUCACACCCAAGCGUUCGUAAAAAAACAACAACAGUGUUCAAAUCUGUGACAUCUGUGUCAUCUGCAAAGACUUAAAGACACCUGCAGAGGUCUGACUCACCUUGCCUAAUGUUAAGGAUUAUGUUGCUAUGGAAACGUUUCCGACUUGUAAAUCAGCAGGACUAAUGAUGUGUUCAAGUGACCUCAGAAGUAAGAAGUCCGAGCUGAAAAUGACGUCACACCCGAGCUACCAACGUUUCAGUUACCAAGUUGGAAAAAAAAUCAAAAUUGGAAACAAGAUGGCUACAUCUACGAAAAUUAUUUUGGCGCUUGCCUUGUCCGAAUAUAAGUCAAGCGCCAAAAUAAAUUUCGUAGAUGUAGCCAUCUUGUUUUAGGCUUCUGAUAUUGCUUUUUUUUUCCGACUUGGUAACUGACGUGAGUGUGACAUCAUUUUCAGCUCCGACAUCUGACUUCCGAGGUAACUGUAACGCAGCAUAAACACAUCAUUUAUAAAUCAAUAAUGUUUAAACUCGUGUCUCGUGUGGAUUAGAUAGCGCCUUUCACUCAUUCAGGGUUCUAAUUAGCUUGAACAACCCCCUCACUUUCAUUACCCUGAUCCCCGUCAGUCUGUGAAUUACUCAUAAAUGGUUGCGUAGUUCCUCCUUCAAACAAAGCCCUUCGUUGUAAUUUUACUUCCUAGAAUGAGCUAAUAUGAAGUCAAACAGGGUUCCAGAGAUUUUCACUCUGAUCUAAUUUCUUACAUCUGACAUUUAUCAGCAACGAGGGAAACUAAUACGACUUGAUUUGCUGUUUUAUUAGCAAUGCAACAGAAAAGAGGACCUUGUUGGUCUAAUGACAACACACCCCCUCCGCUGAGAUUGAAGUCACAUUGGCUGUUGGUAACGAGGACAGUCAGGAAAGCUGCCAGGGCGCAUGAUCAAUUGUUGUCCUUGCAUCACAUUGAGUCCGGUCCUGGUGUUUGCAUACACAGUUUAAAGGACUCUAUCGGUAACAGGGAGGGAAAAUGAAAAAAGGUGUCCGGUAAAAUGUUCCUUUCACAAUCUGAUUUCAUGCCUCGGUGCCUGUGCGCGGAUAAUAACUGACCUAUUGUUGGGGUGACUGCAAAUCAUGUAAAAGCCAUAAUCUAAGUCUUACAAUAAUCUGGGUUUUUACUGUAAUCGACUUGUUUGUUAAUGUCCCGUGUGAAUGUUGCUUUCAUGUAUUUAUGACUCAUGUUUGACUGAAAUAACCCCACCGCCUGCCCCCACCCCGCUGCCCUCACAACACACCCUCACACACUAAUCAAUACGAACACCCAUGCUGUAAUGUGUGUGUUAGUGUAUUUUCUCUGCCCUGCAGCUCGACACAACCCUGCAACACAUCUUUAACAAUCAGGCAGAGAAAAGACCAACCCCCCCCGCCCCACACACACACACACACACACACACACACACACACACACACACACACACACCCAAUACUCCCCCCUUAUAAAUACAUAAGCACUGCUUUACAAUAGGGCACAGCAUAUGUGAGUGUUCAUGGGGCUGUCAGGGGAGGGGGGCAUGCUGAACAUGGGUUACAUGAGGUGAUAGUCAAUAGUCAGUGUGUUACCCACAGAGGAUGCUGGCCGGCUCGACCCCUUUUGUUGAGAAACCAGCUGGAGCGCCGGGACAGAAACUGAAAAUCUCUGCAGACGGGGUCAAACUCAGACCCAAAGACUGAAUUUAGAAAAGUUUCAAAACAUAAAUGUAAUUAAUGUAAAAUUAAUUUAGGGUCAGACUAGUGCUGGGCGAUAGGACGAUACAUAUCGUGGGCACGAUAGAAAAUGUCUAUCGUGCCAUUUUUAUUGUUAUCGUUUCGGGCGAUAGGCUGUAUUUAAUCCAUAGGGCUUGUGCCAUCAGAUGAUUCAUAGUGACAACAACAAAAAUUGCACAUUCAGUAAGUGUAUUUGGUGUCGAACGGGAAAGAAAACAAUAUUUUCUUACAAAGAAAAGGAUGCGUUGACAUGUAGGCUUGCAUUUCUCUUUCGAUUUUGCGACAUGACGCCGCUUAACGUGCCCUCUUCGUGUCCAGCGUCUCCCGCCGUUGCGGGUUACCUGGGUUACACACGUGAGGGGAUCAUUGUAAGCAGUGCUUAAUUUGUGCCGGAGCAAGUCGGAGCGCGAUCCGGGACCUCUUUUGAUCGGAUCCGGGACCUAUUUCAGCCGCUCCGGCACCUGUUUCAUCUGCUCCGGGACCUUCCCUGUAGAGGAUGACAUUUUUCGGGAAUUCCCGUGGGUCACGUGAUUCCCGCGGGAAUCCCACGGGAUGGGAGUCAUUUUUUAAUUAAUCCCUUGAUCGGGACGGGACGGGGAAAAAGGCAACGGGAGUGGGCAGGAGCGGGAACAACAUUAAAAGAUGAUCAUUUUCAGCCGUGUUUAACAACCAGCUGAACAGGUGCGUCCAUUGUUGUAGUCAUCUCUCAGUGAGAGCCAACACUCUUGACCGCGCUAGCAACACAAAAGAACUACAACAGUGGUUUGACUUCCUGUCAGCUUGGCGCGGCUGCGCAUUUCUACCCUUCAAGCCAGCAGCGAGGAAACGUAAUUUUGUGACAUUCUGUAGUUUUUCAAUCAUUUCUGGAGUCGUGGCGAAUCAAAUCACCUUACCUGUCUGCCCCUGAUAGGCGAAUAAAGCGCUCGGAUUCAUGCUCGGGUCUUCCUACGUGCUUCAAGAGUAAAGUAAACAAUGAUGGAGGCAGAGAGCAGCUUUGGAGGAGAAACAUCUAGCAGUGUGAACAACCUCUUCAAAAGAGCCCUAAAGACCUACCUUUUUAAUAAAGCCUUUGGUUAACUUUCCUCUAUGCUUUUACUACCUUGCCUCUUACAUUGCAACUCUAUAUUUUUUAUUUUUUUAAAUUCUUUUUUUAUGCCAAUCUGUGACUGUUAUUCUAUUGCUUUUUUAUUGUUGCUGCUCUUUUUUUACUGUGUACUGUAGCACUUUUAGAUUUUUUGUAAAUGUAAAGUGCAUUACAAAUUAAAUUUAUUAUUAUUAUUAUUAUUAUUAUUAUUAUUAUUAUUAUGGAGUGCUUUGGCUCACACUAUCGGCGUUUUCUGUGAGUGUUGCAUAACUUUGGGUGAGCACAGACAUGAACGCACUUCGGCCACGUAUUUAUUUAUUCAUUUUUCUAGUUUUAAGUGCUGGUCUUGUACUGGUACUGUACUAGUGCAGCUGUAUACACUUAAAUUUUUCAUAGAACUGAAAGCAUACCAUAGCUAUAUUGUGAUAUAUAUCGUUAUCGUGAUAUAAAAUGAUCCAUAUCGUGAUAUACAUUUUUUUCCAUAUCGCCCAGCACUAGGUCAGACAGACCGUAACACUGAGUUAGACCCCCCCCUCCAGAGAUGAAUGUUGUCGACCGCUUGCUUCUCUAGUUAUACCAACUUUAGUAACGACCGCAGGAUAGUAAUACAGAGAGGUCUGAGGAGCCAUAAACAAACCUCAACCAAAACACCACUCUAUAGCCACAAAUAAUGCUCAGAACAGCACCUAACUUCAUCAACAGGACAUACAGGGUCACAGACAUAGUACCAGUGUUACAGCCCGGCUCGUAGGCUGUUACAAGUAAUGGGGAAGACACAGAGUGUUAUUGUUAAACAAAGAUGAACUCACUUUCUAAAUUAAUGAACAUGUUUCCGUUAUGUGUGUGAGUGAGAGUCAGUAAGGAAACUAGGUGUCAUGCAGUGUAAGUGUUGAGGAGCGUGUCGGGUGCAUUAAAGAAACAAAAGUAGCUGCUUGGAGGAUGAAGGAAGAGAGGGAGCGUGAGGCCGCGGCGGAAGUCGGUCUUUUAUAGCCCCGGUAACACACUGGGCCCUAGUGGUCACCGGAACACGUCAGCCACUGCACCUCAAAAUAAAACAGGACAUAUAUACUCGGUCACAACUAGACACCAAACGUCUUUUUAACUUUUUUUAGCAAAGAGACUAAACACAACUCACCUACUCUCUUCCAGCAGACGCUUGUUUGUAGAGAGACCUCAGGCCGGUCUAUUACAGACUACAACGGGGUGCCGCAGCUCAAGGAAGAACAUUUAUGAUCAUUUCUUCAUGGAAAUACAAUCAGACCGAGACGCUAAGACAGAAGAACUACCACGUCUGCAGUGCAAAAUGGUUAAUAUGGUGAUUAUUACUUCAAAUAAUCGAUAAAGAAAUGAUCAUAAAUGUUCUUGAUUGAGCUGCGGCACCCCGCUCCUCAGACCGCUGUGUAUUGCUAUCCCACAGUCGUUACUCAAGUUUUGUUAUAACUAGAGAAGUAAGCGGUCAGAAUCUGAAUGAAUCUGACGCAGUGUUCAAAUCAAAUGUAAAUAAAACUAUUUACUCGCUUAAUUCGUGUAAAUAACUCACUCCGCUUACGUACUCUGUUAAAUUCACAAAAAGGAGGAAUUUCCGUCACGCCAUUAUGGUCUGUUUUCAACAAACGUGGCUGCAAGGAUUUCUGUGUUUUUACAACUUAACCAGAAUGUACAUCACAGAUUUGAAGCGCAGACCAGAAGAGAGAGGGGACAAACUUCUGUGCAGGAUGGAGAGCAAGAAAAAUUGUCUGGUGGUCCAGGUGUGUAAACUGUGAACCUGGGGAAACUCAGAGAAGACUCGGUAGAUCUUACAUCAUUUGUACAACAACAAAAGCACUGAAGCGUGAAGUACGCACCGUGUGAAUGGGGUGAAUUGUGUACAUCAAGUGUAAAAUCAGAGGGUAAAGCGAUGGUGGGGUGAGGUGGGGUGAUGAUGGGAGGGGUGUAAAGCAGUAAAGGAGGGGUUUAGCGGCAGCUGCCCAGAGAGUGACGACUGUACAGGAGGGAGGCAGAGGAAUAAGAGCGAGGGAAAGAGGAGCAGAGGGAGGGAACCCCGAGAGGGGGGAGCAUGCAGGGACGGAGGGGUAGAGCCUGAGCUGUCAGUGCAGGAGAGCGGAUGGAGGAGUGAGAACAAGCAGAGCUGCACGCCAAACAAACUACGCCAAACAGUGCAAAACUUGGUGCAUAUGAGGGAUUUAUACGCAGGCAGAUCCAGGAGGAAGACAAAAGUCACAACGGGGUAAAAAUACGAUUUCAGGUUUUCCAUGGGAACAGGAUUCCUUAAUGGUCCAUGUUUCUGGUUUUUGAUGGUUUCCGUGCUCCUGGUCCCACCAGCUGCCAGCACUGUCACAGGGUUAUUGAGGCCUUGAGCCACACAGAUAAUCAGCUUUAUUAGUGCUGCCGCUAAAACCAAUUUAAGAGCAGACUAGAGGGAUCAGACGGGCCAGCUGUCCACACCAGCGCCUCGGCAGGCACCCCGGCCCCAGCCCACACAAAACACCAAAACAACAACGAGCCAACUGUGCGCACUGCCAAUUCAACUGUGUGAGCAGGCUUAUUACCAUAUCUCUGAGGAUGAAAAUCAAACGCAGCCUUUACUAAAUCUGUUUUUUUACUGAUACAACUGUUAGAAAACAAAGAAGUGUCCGCAGGUUUAAAGGUUACAGAGGAAUAAAAGACGCGUUUAUAACGGUAAUGACGUCUUCAGACCCUCAAAGUUGGCAGGAGACCAAACCAUGAUUUCCUUUUUGCUCUGAAUCCAAACCAAACCACUUCCAGUUCUUUUCACAGCACAGUCAAAACAUCCUCGCUCAUUAACCAGCCUCUGACCCUGACAGUGACCCACCGCCAGCCUCAUGAUCUCAUGGCGUUCUCCCCUCCGCGUACAGUCAAUCCUGACCUGUUGCCGCUGCCAAUUACAGCGAGGCAGCGAAAGGAGGCUAACUCCAUAUUAGACAGAGUGAGCGUGCAGCAGCGGGCUCCAGGCACGACUUUUACCUUACGUCACGUUUCCGUCUGGGUUGAGAGCGAGACAGUGAGAACGACGGGCAAAGAUAAUCUGGUCUGGUCACUAUCUCAGUUACAUCCACACCCUGACAGGGGAACCAGUCUGGUACUCUGGGACUGAGGUUUCAGGCCAGAUUAGGCAGGAAAGGGCAAGUGAAGAACAAGGCGUCUUAAUGGACUGGGGCACCAGGACAGCUUCAUGCUGUCUGGAUAAACACUUCCCUCACAUUCACACACUUACGACUCCUUCUAUGAUGAUGUGAUGAUCACUUACAGGGGGGAGGAUUUCUGCAGCCCCUUUGCAACUAUUUCUUUACAACGUGACGCUUGCAGAAAGAAAAUGAUCAAAGUUUUACAAGCUAAUGAAGACUUUUGUUUGUUGUUUGUUUGCAUGUCAAACAUCGUUUCUUCAUUUCGCUCUGUUCGGGUGGUUACACGAUUUAUUGACGAGGACUGUGAGCGUCAGAGGACUGAUAGUUUUGCGUUGCAUGAUACAUUUGUCAGUAUUUUGAUCUCUGGUUAGGCUGGGAUAUAACCAGUAUGUAUAACCUGCACAGAUCUGUUAGAUCUGAAUAUGACCGGGAGUGGACAGCAUUAUGCUGGAUAGCGUACAUCCUGCCAGAGAAGAAGGGAAAGCUGAAAGUGGGAAAACUGAGCAAACAUUAGCAAGGGACAACACCAGGCACUAAACAGAAGAGACAUCUACCAAACUGAAGAAAACAGAAUUACAGCAAACUCAAACUGCAUCAUAGUUUGCCUUUUAAAGGACUUGGAGACUUUAAAAGUUACAGGAAAGCAAACCUAUUUACAUUUGCAAAGACAGUCAAUAAAAACACUUAAGUUUGAACAUUAAUCGAGGUACUAAAAUCAAAUAAAUCUAUCAAUAUCAAUCUUCUAAAAACAGGAUAAAAACAGUUAAAAACUCAAAUAUGUUCACAGCGAUUAGACAUGUUAACAGCCCAUCAACAGGCUUACACAGCUCCUACUUAUGGUUCCACAUAAGCACAAAAGCCUGCUACAAUGCCCAAGAGGAAAGCUCCAGUCCAGAGCAGUAAUGAUCUAUGUGUGUAUGUGUGUGUGUGUGUGUGUGUGUGUGUGUGUGUGUGUGUGUGUGUGUGUGUGUGUGUGUGUGUGUGUGUGUGUGUGUGUGUGUGUGUGUUUGUCAGGGUACACACAUGUACACACACAUGCAGCUUUCUUCAGGCGCCUCUUGUGUGCGUCUGUGUAAGAACAUGCCAGCCUUUCAUUCAUUAAUCUGUGUGUGUUUGUAUGUGCACGUGCAGUCUCUUAAUUUCAUGGGUGCGUGUUUAAAUGUGCAUGAGCUUAUUCACAUGCAUGUUCCAGCUCGUGUGUGUGUGUGUGUGUGCAGGAUCUGCAGGGCAGAUUCUUCGGCACCAGGAGCGCCGAUCUCACUUAAUCUGCAGUUAACGGCUGUUUAAACAACCUCCAUAAAUGUUUAACGUUGCUGCCCAUGCCCUAUUGAAUGGGAGGCAUUUUACUUCAUGCAAAAACAGGCCACCAGGGGCCUCAAGGGCCCCCCUGACUUGCAUUUAAUGUGUGUAAGAAGGCGCCCAUUAUCAGCCUCACAAUGACACAAUUCACUCUGGCUGUGUGUCUGCCAUCCCAUUUGGUUUGUAUCAGGGCCCCUGUGCUGCUGAUGGCUAUCUAAUUGGAAGAGUUCAUCAGGAGCUGAUGUCUGAAGAGUGGAAGUGUUCACGAUGGACUGGGCUCCAUGUGUUUGUUCCAAAAUGACUUUGUGAAGUGGAGUCAGAUGCAGUUUUGCACAGAAUGAACCAAAAAAAACAGGAGAUGACGGUUACGGAGGAGGUUUUGUGUUUGAAGGAGUUUCAUAUUUGCUCUCACUUGAGUUCAAAAACAAAGCAGCAGACUCGCUCUGUUUGUUUGUCGGAUAAAACCUUUUCCAGGAGGCGCUCGGCUUUAAACUCGGGACAUGUUUUAUACAUGUUCGGGGCUAAAAUGACAGACGUGUUCAGAAAGUUUUAGAGCUCUCUACAAGGUCGCUGCAGGCAGUAGUUUGAAAACAUGCUGCAGCACAGAGCAUCCAUGGUAAUGUGUGAUAGUAUGGAAAACUUCACCACAGGGCGCGUUUCUUUGGGAGCAUCUCUCCUUUCGAAACUGACUAAGCAGAUUUAUCCUGCUGGUCCUCUUCUGCCUUAUUUGGCGACUGUUUUGGGACUUUGAUGACCUGAAUGGGUUCAUAUCUGUGUCUGGUAAUUGAUCAGUGCCGGUCUGACAUAGUUGGCAGGGCUUGACACUAACUUUUUUUUACAAGGAGCGCGUGUUCUCCUAAGUUAAAUAAGUAAGGAGCACACAAAGACCUUUAGGGGCACAAUAAAAAUUGAUCAAAUAAUGUGUGUCUUAUAUUGGUUGACAUAAUUAUUAUGAUUUGGAAUCGAUUUUAGGUCAAUUGGUCACAUGACAUGGAAGCUAUUGAAGGAAAACAGCCUUUUUUGAGAACAUCAACCGGUAAUUUAUUGACGGUCCCUUAUUCAACACCGACGUUGACAGUGAGGGUGUCGAGUAGAUUUAACCGCGCUACUGUUGUUAUUCCCGGUUAUGGAGAGUGAGAAGACACCGGUAGAUCCUCAGAGAAUGUCCGUCAGAUAUCCAACCUAAAACUAACUUCACCGCCGUAUUUACAGGAAAAUUUAUCCAACCUAAAACUAACUUCACCGCCGUAUUUACAGGAGAAUAUAUCCAACCUAAAACUAACUUCACCGCCAUAUUUACAGGAAAAUAUAUCCAACCUGAAACUAACUUCACCGCCGUAUUUACAGGAGAAUAUAUCCAACCUAAAACUAACUUCACCGCCGUAUUUACAGGAAAAAACGUUUGUUGCCUUGGCUGAUUUUUCUAUGCGCACAUGUGACCCUAACUACAUUUUACAAUUCGCACACAUCUAUUUUUAGUUGCAAAUGUGAGUGAAACGGUCGCACUGUCGAGCCCUGCAUAGUAAUACUAAUUCAUCGUAUGGAUCAGAUUUAAAGUCUUACAUGGACGAGUGGAAACAUGGACUUCACUUCUUCCACGGUUUAACAGAAAUCCCCCUACCCUGAGUGCGCACACACUCACACACACACACACACACACACAGAGUAAAUGGUGUGUGUUGUAUGAUGAGCGGUGCAUUAACAGAGCAGGACUCCCUGCUCUCAGCGCUCUAGGGGAGCACAGUGAUUUACUGUUCCUGUUAUAAACGCCGCUCCGUUCCUUAAUGAGCCUCUGACAUGCUGCACGGUCCUGGCGUGUUUUCCUUUGCCUGGUUGGCGACGGCUCCCUGAUUACUGCCCCCAUUAAGAGGGCAUUCCCUCUGACACCAGCGUGCGCCUUCAGCCAUACGCACUCAGGCAUUACAAGCAAUCAACUGAGGCUGGGUAAUAAUGGGGGUGAGCAGCACCUGCCCUGAAACUGGCUAAGGACUAACCCUGUGCCAGAAACAUAAAACAAAGGGAGAAGUUUGGAGGACACUCUGGUGUUGGUCUAACACACGGCCUCAUGCGCUCUCCUGUACCCGGAGCAUUCAGGAUGACGCUGACAGAAGAGUCUGAGUAUCAGCGGACACUUCGGAGUAAUAAAUCACUGAGCUUCUUAUCCUUAAAGACCGCCAUUACCAUAACAACACCACAUAUCAAUUGGUCUAUAUUUCAUCUUUUAUUUAUUUUUUAUUAAGUGAUGCAAAACAGAACAUGACAGGUGAGGGACAACAAACUAAGACACAGACAGGGGAGACAAGACAAGACAGGCAAAAGCAGGUAUUAUUGUAUUUCACCUGCUGGUAGGUGGAGUUGACUUAUUAAUAACAAUAUAACAUUUGGAAAUAAUAAUGCUAACUAAUAAAAGUAAGAAGAAUAAUGUAACAGAACAAAGGGACAAAGGAAAAAAAUAAAUAAAUGAAAUUAAGAAAGAAAAGAUAUAUCUCUUUAUAUAUACAUAUAAAUAUACAUAAAGAUAAAGAUCUUAGUUCAUUCAUUUUCCAUUUAAAUUUUUCUUUUUUUGUCUAUUUGAUUUUACUUUUGCAGAAAACCAUUGGUCGUCAGUAAGAUUUUUCAAAAUAAAAAAAAACAAAAAUCUCAGAUUUUUCUCCAAAAGUAUUUCCACUUCUGCAGAAACCUCAUAAAAAAAUAUAGCUUUUGCCUUAUAUUUCCAACACUGAUUGUAACUCCAGAUGUUUCAUUUUCAGUCUCAUAUCCGAACAGAAAAAACUUCUUAAUGCUGCAGAGACUGGACUAAACCGAGACACUCACAGUGUGGAGCACUGUGAUUGAUCAAACUCUGAUUAUUGUGCACCUUCCUGCACAAAUGCACACCUUUGCAUGUCUGACUGGUCUACAUUUAGUCCAGCUUAUAUUUGUAUAGUUUUUAAUAAUUACAUCUUUUUCUAUUUAAAGGCUCUUUUGAAGCACGACUAUUAAAACACAUUAUAUUAUGAAGUCUUUGUUAUUCAGGGUUUGAUUUACUACAAUAUAUUCCUCUACCCAUAAGAAUAGAAAAACACGGGAUAUUGAAAUUAAAUGCUUCAAAUGACAGACGUUCAUGUCUAAAAUGAGCCUCUCUGUUUAUUGCAUAUGCAUUACAUGAUACACAACGAUAAGAGGUGAUGAGAAACAAGAGCACCAUUAAGGUAUUGCACAACCCUUGCAGCCUGCAUAAGGAGCUUAUUUGGAGACAUGUAUGAAGUGUGUGUGUGGUGGGUGUGUGUGUGUUUGGAGGGAAGAUUAACAGUUUGGCUAAGAUGCAUGUUGGCAAUAAAGACUAUCUGAGUAGAUCUGAAAUGGUUCAAUGUGUAAAAACAGUCAUGAAACAGACGGAAACCAGUCCUCAGUCAGUUUUAGAUUUUGGGUUAUUUGAGGAAUAUCUGCAUGAAUUUAUAUUUAUAUUAAUCUGAACUCUCCAGAUUCAGAUUUAACUCUUUUAAAAAUACAUUUUAAUUGAUUUUCCAAGACUGUAAAUGUUGUUGACAUUUAAACUCACCGCAGGUAUGUGCUCCAUGAGACCACGCUGGUGCUCCAGAGGUUCUCCUAAUCCAUGAAAGUUUAAAAACCCGUAAAAACCGUCCUCCUGAAGUCUUGUGUUCCAGUUGUCAUCAUAUAUACACCUGCAGCCAUACGCCGACUCUCACAGUUGGGCAGCUCGUGCGGCUCUAAGGCAGGUGGAGACUGACUGACAGCUGCCAGCACAACAGCUGAUACUCAAUAUCUGCACGCCACUAGUUGCAGCUGGACCAAUGGGACGUGCAGGCAGCAGCGGCUGGCUCGGCCCAGGCUCAUUCAGUAAAACCUGGGACUCCACUCAGAGGACCACAGAUCCCAGGGUGUCCCAGUUUUCCUAGGACUCCUGCGUGACCAAAUCCCCUCUCUUAGGUCUGUCUGGACCUGCCGUGCAGAGCCGCCAGCCCCAAGGAUGCUGCCCAGACGCCAUACGACGCUCGCACUCUCUCUCCUCACAAGGCUGGAUUAUUCUUGAACCACCUGGACCUCAGAGCCACCGCUCUCUGAGCAAGUUUGGACAUAGUUCACUUGGACUUGAAUUGACCCAGGGAAAAAGCUUCCCUUCAAAUGUGGCUCGACCCAACAGAACCAGAACUACUGUUUGUGCAUUAUCAGUCUGAUGUUAGUUAGUGUGUUUAUGCAUGAAUAAAAAAAUAUUUACAUAACUUUUUUACUGAAAAGUUUUCUCUGUGUAUUAAAAGUAAACGUGAAAAUGGAAGGUUACACUAAUUAUGCACAGCAUUUGGAGUGCGUUGUUCUCAUGUAAUCAACAUGUGCAGAUUUAUCUAUCUAACACUUAUUCAAACACCAGAUCAACUGAGUAUGAUCAAUCUAAAGUAAAACACCAUGCAUAAAAAGGACAAAGACUAUCUAUGUGAGUGUGUGUCUAUGUGGAGGAGCUCAGAGACUCCUUAAUAAGCAUUAAGAGACGGACAGUCCAGGGUUCUUUGCCCUUAGCCUCCACAGCACACCAGCUAAUCCUCCUCUCUGCAGACCGGGUGCUACUUUGCUUGACCUGAUAUCAGGUGUUUGCAUUAAAAUCACAAGAGCAUUAAAGAGUCUAACCCCCAAUUUUCACUGCAUCCAGAACGGUGGCGAUUUUCGCCGUCCGCCAAUUCCUAUAUGAUCCAUUGGUGAGGUGAAUUUGUGGCGGAUUACAGACAGUGGUAAUCGCAAGAACUCACAAGAACCCGCGGAUUCAUGUGCAAUCGCGCAAUAACGAGUUAUCUCUAUAAAGACAGACAUAUAGACAUAUAAGCAGUAGAUUGUGUCCUUCCAGAGGAGGAAAUCUACUUCUAGACUUCUAGAAUCAGCAUCUCCUCAUCCAUGGUGUCAUCGGGGUGAAAUGACGUCUACAAACCUUUCACUUGGAUGUUUUAUUUUGUGUCUGUGCCCGACUUCCUUUCCAGCACGGGUUAAUCUGUGCUGAAUUUAUCCGCCAUGCUCUUGCGUCCGGAAAAAAUAGAACUCUUGUGAUCAGCUGAGGAGUCCGGUGAUCCGCAGAGGAACGGAAAGAAGCCGGUGG